This 1353-nucleotide long non-coding RNA is filed under the name Homo sapiens (human). RNAcentral's name for it is "HSALNT0373867". Lineage: Eukaryota; Metazoa; Chordata; Mammalia; Primates; Hominidae. The record is from RNAcentral.
GUCGAACAUCUGUAUUUCAGGCUGCUGACGAAAUAUCUAUGGAAAGGGGCCUCUAAAGAAGUAGUGCAGAGAAUAAAAACUGCUGGGAAAGAUAUGCAAUCACUCAAAAAAAAUGGGUGUGUUCCUCUGGAAUGCAAAGUGACUCACAAAUGGAAUGCCUGAUUUACCCUCUGAAAGGGGUCCGCACCUGCCUAACCAUGACCACUAGUCUGGAGAAGCACUGGCUUCAGCAGCAGAAGGCAGAAUCAUUGAUAGCAAGAAUCUUUUGAGCUCCUCAGAGCCAUGCAGCUCCUCACCCUUACCCUCUGCCACUGCCAUCAGCAAUGGGGAUUUCUCAGGUCUCAGCUCAAAUACAGUAUCUUUAAGGAUGCCGGAGAUACAGGAGUGCUGGGAAGGCAAGACCAUGGUCCCUUUAAAUGAUACGGGAGUGCUGGGUAGAGGAAGGGUGUGGUCCCUGGCUAGGGCUCCACCCCCACCGACCUAGAUGAGGACCUGGCACUCCUGCCUGCACGCCCAAAUGUUGUAUUUCCCAAGACCAUCCUGGCCCACCACGGCCCCAUCCUGUGACUAUAAAAACCUGAGACUCUAGCAAGGCAAAGACCGAAACGACUGGACGUGUAGAGGAGCGGAUCAGCAGAAGAAGAUAGAGGCAGGGGGAUGUCAAAUGCAGCAUAUCAGCGUAGGAACACACAGGCCGUUGAAGCGAGAGAGGAGCACAUCAAUGAAAGAAGGCACAAGCAUCUGGAUGGCGAGAGGAUGUUGAGGGGAGCAUGGCAGCUGAAGAGCACACCGACAGGACACACGCCGGCACUGUCCCGGUGGGAGUGGGAUGAGGCGGAGUUUGGUGGGGGCAGUGGGAGGAGAGCCCUGGCCGUGGAGUGCCCCAACUCCAGGGGAAAACCAUCUCCCUUCUGGCUCCCCCAUCUGCUGAGAGCUACUUCCACUCAAUAAAAGCUUGCACUCAUUCUCCAAGCCCACAUGUGAUCCUAUUCUUUCGGUACACAAAGGCGAGAAACCCCGGGAUACAGAAAGCCCUCUGUCCUUGAGAUGAGGUAGAGGGUCUAAUUGAGCUGGUUAACACAAGCCUAUAGAUGGCACACUAAGAGAGCAUCCUGUAACACACGCCCACUGGGGCUUCAGCUGUAAACAUUCACCCCUAGACACUGUUGUAGGGUGGGAGCCCCACAGCCUGCCGUCUGUAUGCUCCUCUAGAGGUCUGAGCAGUGGGGCACUGGAGAGCCACACCCACAUCGCAUGCCCUGCCGGGGGACUACUGAACCUUUCCCGUUUCACUAGCAUAUACAAUAUAACCCUCUGGCCUAUCGCUUUAACACAUUUCCUCAGAGCGUUCAA